AACGGCCGUACCAUGCUGAAUAUACCGGUUCUCGUUAGAUCACCGAAGUUAAGCAUCAUUGGGCGCGGUCAGUACUUGGGUGGGUGACCACCUGUGAACACUGCGCGCCGU
Molecule: ribosomal RNA, 111 nt
Filed under: Caerostris darwini
Lineage: Eukaryota; Metazoa; Arthropoda; Arachnida; Araneae; Araneidae
Source: RNAcentral